RNAcentral lists this transfer RNA (68 nucleotides) under Marmota monax (woodchuck). Its description in RNAcentral is "tRNA.Undet". The record is from RNAcentral. Lineage: Eukaryota; Metazoa; Chordata; Mammalia; Rodentia; Sciuridae.
GGAUUGUGGCUCAGUGGUAGAGCACGCGCCUUGCAUAGGAAAAGCCCUGGGUUCAAUCCCCAGCACCA